AGAGCCAGUGCUCUUAACCGCUGAGUCUUCUCUCCAGCCUGUUCAAGACUUCACUUUGAAUUCUACUUUGCUGGACACCAGAGAGUAAGGUGAUAUUAAUUCACCUUCCUGUUUCCAGGUCUGGCUGUGCUGGGCAAGAGAAAGGUGCUCAGGCUUAGUUCACAGGACUGUGGUUCUGCCCCCUUUUCAUAGGAGCAAUUGACUCUGCAGACAUGGACCUGGAGAUGGAGAUGCAACAGUGAAGGAUUGGAAGCUGGAAGGAAGGAAACCCAAGCCAAGGAAUCUAAGUGGCUUCUGGAAAUGGAAUUUUCUAGAAGAAAGCCACAUUCCUGUUGCGGACUGACUGACUGGUUGGAACUUCAUGAUGGUGGAAAGUUGGAUACUGUGGAUGUGAGGCCAAAAUUAUCUCACUCCCCGCCCCCCC
Molecule: long non-coding RNA, 424 nt
Organism: Peromyscus leucopus (white-footed mouse)
Lineage: Eukaryota; Metazoa; Chordata; Mammalia; Rodentia; Cricetidae
Exons: 3
Source: RefSeq, a predicted model, not a curated record